Molecule: long non-coding RNA, 1162 nt
Organism: Olea europaea var. sylvestris
Lineage: Eukaryota; Viridiplantae; Streptophyta; Magnoliopsida; Lamiales; Oleaceae
Exons: 2
Source: RefSeq, a predicted model, not a curated record
GAAAAACAUGUCUCCUUCUUCAAAAGAUCUUUUUUGAUCUAUGUUUAUCAGCAUAUUGUUUCUUUCUUGCUUUCGUUUGUGAUAAGUCAGCUUUCAAUUGCUGAUCUAAUUUGUACCUUUCUUGGAGCAAUUUCUUUACAGCCGAGUGCUUCAAAAGGAGUUAGAGAUGGCAGAAAAAUCCAUCCCAUCCCACCACGAAUGGGGCAAACAAUACCCAUCUCGACGGGUUGAUUGGGCUGGGCGUAAGUCGUCGCUCCGUCUUGGGUCUCAGCCACAAUUUUCCCAUCCCACCAAACAAUCCACAAUCUCUAUACUCUAACCCAAACGGCCAUACCCUUCAUCUCCUCCCAUAACCUUAAUCCACAUCCUGUGAUUCUCAUCGUUGGCACCACCAUUUGUUUGCAGCCUAUUCAUCUAUCGAUCACACUACACACGGUCCACAGUCAAUUCAAUCUACUCCCUUCGAUCUACAGGCGGUUCCACACCCGCAGGCCCAAACUUCAUUUCAUAAACCCAAAGGUUCAAUUCUCCAAUUCCCAAACCUAAAACUGUGAUUCUUGUGUGGUUGUUAAGUAUAAUUUACUGUGAAAUUCAUAGACAAAAGAGAAAAACAUAGAGAAUCUACUUUUUUCAUUUUUUUGAUGUCUGGCCCAAGUAGUACUGGAAGUAUUGGAUUAGGACCAAUACGUGAGAAAUAUAGCAUGACCAAUAUAUCGGUGAGCAAUGUCCCACAAGAAGAUCCAGUUGAACCGUUACCAAUGUGGAUGAAAGGCUAAUAAGCCUAAGUGACGAGAAGUGUGAUAUUGGAGAACUAUUUUCCCGAAAGAGGAAAUUGAUUCAGCUAUUUGAGAGCACUACAAAAGAUAAAAUAUUAGUGUGGAAUGGAGGGCUAUAUGCAAUCAUUACAAGAAACAGUUAGGGGUGACACAAAAAAUAGUACAAAGCAUUUGCAUGAUCAUUUGAAGAGAUGUGUAUUUCGUCAUCAAGAUGAUAUUUGCCAAGCAACAUUAAAUUUAAAAAAGGAUACUGCGAGUGGUAAGGUCACAAUGGGUACUUACUCUUUCGAUCCAGAUAAGUGUAGGUAUAGUCUCGCAAAAAUGGUGAUUUUGUAUGAACAUUCUUUGUCUUCGAUUGAUCACAUUCGAUUUCGAGAGUUCUUGCA